AGGUCUGUGAUGCCCUUAGAUGUUYUGGCCCGCACGCGCGCUACACUGAUGCAUUCAACGAGCCUAUCCUUGACCGACAGGUCCGGGUAAUCUGUGAAACUGCAUCGUGAUGGGGAUAGAUUAUUGCAAUUAUUAAUCUUCAACGAGGAAUGCCUAGUAAGCGCGAGUCAUCAGCUCGCGUUGAUUACGUCCCUGCCCUUUGUACACACCGCCCGUCGCUCCUACCGAUUGGAUGUGCUGGUGAAGCGUUUGGAUUGGCGGCAGGGGGCGGUUUCCGCGCUCUGCAGCCGAGAAGUUCGUUAAACCCUCCCAUCUAGAGGAAGGAGAAGUCGUAACAAGGUUUGGAGCCUCCCAAAUCAAUGGCCUCUUCCGCAAAAGAAGCCUACCGAAGCCUCAGCCGCCCGAAAGGGUGCCCGCCGCGACUCAGCUGGACAAAAAACAAUGAGCGGGCUUCAAGUGCUAGUCGAACACAAACAAUGUUUUGUAUUCGGCGACACCGUCAAAUUGCGGGGAAACCCAUCCGACUCUCGAACACCAAACGGCUCGCCGACAAGGCGCCCGUGGCCAGGGUAACGACCUUGGGUAUGGUAAAAGCAUCGAGGGGAGAAGCUCUCUUUUAAAACUGAUAGAGAGAGUGGAAGUGGGCGAUCCGCAGCCAAGUCCCAGCCUUUGUUGUUUUGUCAACAAAGGUGAGGGAUGCCGUUCACAGACUACAUGGCGGUGGGUCUUUCAAUAGCAGAAAGGCCUAAGAUAUAGUCGGGCCUCCCUGGCGACAGGGUAGGAAACACCAAACACUACGCAGGAUUAACACUCACCGUUCCGUAGGUGAACCUGCAGAAGGAUCA
This 845-nucleotide ribosomal RNA is filed under the name uncultured Chlorophyta. RNAcentral describes it as "bacterial SSU rRNA". The stretch from base 1 to 362 matches the Rfam family "Eukaryotic small subunit ribosomal RNA". The record is from RNAcentral. Lineage: Eukaryota; Viridiplantae; Chlorophyta.